This 1886-nucleotide long non-coding RNA is filed under the name Sorghum bicolor (sorghum). RNAcentral's name for it is "long non-coding RNA (SBIC_LNC004957)". The record is from RNAcentral. Lineage: Eukaryota; Viridiplantae; Streptophyta; Magnoliopsida; Poales; Poaceae.
GAGUCUUCUAGAUGAUAGAAAAUUGUGCGGUACGUUAAUAUCUCUAUGUAAACCCGACAUGUGGGCCUUUCCUCCAUAUUUCCUGAUAACCCCUUGUAGAAAUAGACAAACACCAAAACUCGUGGAAUUCUGUCAGAUAAAACCCUAAGUAUGGGUGUUGGUUGUAUUUGGAUCCUUUUCUUUAUUUAUUUGAUGAUUAUAUUUGGUACUUAAGGAUCUUCAACAACUCCCCCAAGCUUACCUCUUGCUCGUCCCUGAGCAAGGAUGGACUCAAAAGUUUCUGCAGUGGUUUUAUGCCUUAAAGGUACACAUGCUUUCAAACAAGAUCUCAUCUCUGGGUUAGGGUAAACUGUUAAGAUUUAAACUUACUCAUAUUACCUUCCACCAUGGGCCUUGCAACCGUCACUUGUGUCUUGAGCAGUUAAAAGAUAGAACGGUCAAGUCAAGCGCCAUGUCUCUUGUUCUUUGAUCAACUAUAGCUCUAGAGUUUUUGUAGAUUUCAAAAUAAAACUCAGAGAUUCCUUGUAUGACUCUCUCAAUUCUCUCUUUUGUGGUAUUUCUGGAUCCUGACCAAGGCAGUGAUGGUAUAUGCCUUCUCUCAAAGUAUGUGGUAUUUGUGGUAUGAGGCAUAGUGACAUUGCUUUCUCUCUCACCCUACUCUAAUAAGGUUUUGAUAUCUGGAGCUCAUAGGUGGGAGACAGCUAAUACAUCCUUAUAAGACAUUUAUUGCAUAGUCAAACCAUGGAUCUAGAGAAACAAGUCAAUAAGUCAAAUCAAGAUGUGCAUGUGUGGCGAAUGAAUGGUGUAUGGUGAUGAUGGUGAAAACAAUGGUGAAAGUCUAAUUCUACUUUUGCUCUUUUGAGGGGAUACAUACCUUUCUUGCACUUUGAAGCUUUUUGAGGGGAAUGAGAUGCUCUAUAUUUUCUUUUUUUUCUCUCAGGUGGGUAUCUUGUACCCCUAAUUAUACUGUCGCACACUUGUCCAUUUUUACCUAUCAUCUCACUUUUUCUUUUCUUCGAGGUUUCGGGCACUUGCCCCUUUUUAUUUCCUCGUAUUCACUUCUUUUUUUUCAGAGCACUCACCCUCCUGGAAUAAUGUAGCAAGUGGGUAGCAACCAAAAUAUCUCGAGCAUUUAUUUCACGGGGAAUAACAGGGAUAAGAUAAUGUUUUUGGCUAUUCUCUCCUAGAUAGGAGUAGAAUUAUUUUGGGUAAACCUGGAGAUGGAAAUGAGUGGAUGUAUGUGGAUGCGUACUUCCGGAGUAGAAGCAGCAUGUAUGAGUGAACGUGCAAGUGAAUCUUGAUUUUAACCGCAUGAUAAGCUCCUAAGGGUCUACACAGCUUGACCACACUCAAUGCUCAUAUGAAGUAAAAAGCAAAUGUAUGGUUCAUAGUCUAAUAAGCAUGCAAAUAUGGCUGUGGUACGAUUUUAAACUCUCAUCAUACAGGAACUCAUCAUGCAACAUUUUAAAGAUUUUCAAAGAUAAAAUUCUCCAGAAUUCUAGCAUCUUUAGGAAUAGAUAAACAACAACUCAACCUUCCAUAUCAUAUCCGUUAACGACUUAGACUUUAGAUCAAGUACUCUUCCCACAAGUUCAGGUCUAGAGCAAAUCUUAAUUCAUAACAGUCAUGCCUAAACUUGAGAGAGAAUUUAAUUUUGAGAACUAGUCAUGGCAGAGCAACUAUUCAUCAUUUCUAUGUGAGAACUUAUCAUGAGGGUUCAUAGCUGUCACACCCAUAUUUUAAGAACAAAAUAGGAUGCAUAAAAGAUUCAUUUGUGCCCCAGAAACAGUCGCACACAUAAGUAGACAAAUCUCAAAUGUACCAUUGCAGUGUUUAUUACAUAGCGGAAUAUAAUAUAUCACAUAGUCUCAUACAAAAAAAAUGAU